CAUUCUUUGAGUUCUAUCUCUCGUUCAUUUGCUUUUAGGCAAAUCACAUUGUAGGAUUACAAUGAACAACCCAAUAAAACAACAUUUGUUAGUUGGUUUAUAGAAGCGAUAUCCAAAAGUUAAUUUAAGGAUAUCCCACAAGAUUGUUAUCAAACAAAUAUUGCUUAUAAGCACACAACCCCAAAUCUUAACAUGUUUUAAGAUUUGUCUUUCUUUCCAACUACAUCUUAUGGAGUCAUGAAAAAUUUGGAAGAUCUUCUAAUUGACAAUCAUAUUGUUUUUAGAAGUAUAUAUCCUAUAUAUGGGUAAUAGAUAACAUCUAACGAACUAAAUCUUAUUCGAGUUCGUUCUUCUCCUUAUGGAGAAAUCUAUUAUCUUAUGAUGCUUAUUUCCUUGAUAUCUUUCAAGGAAAUUGUUUUAAAGUGUUACCUUAUCUUGGAUCAAAUCUAAGGAGGUAAUUACUUUAGACGUCUUACUCAUCAACUUACAUUACUUGAAUUCUUUGAAACAUUUUGCAAAGUAUUCGGACUUGUG
RNAcentral lists this long non-coding RNA (534 nucleotides) under Malus domestica (apple). Its description in RNAcentral is "long non-coding RNA (MDOM_LNC013504)". The record is from RNAcentral. Lineage: Eukaryota; Viridiplantae; Streptophyta; Magnoliopsida; Rosales; Rosaceae.